UUUAUCGAAAUCAUGAUGCAUUCAUUUUCUCAAAACCAUGCAAUUGUUUUAGCUCCUUUAAACCCCUCAUGUAAACCCCACAUGAGUAAAUCACUUUACAAAAAUCCAUGCUCAACUAUGCUACCCAAGAAAUGGGAAAUAUGGCAAAAACCCACAAGUUAGCAAAAUGGACAAAAAGUUUCUCACUGUAGCGAACUUCAUUCUCGCUGCAGCGAGAAUUAGAACAUCAAGGAAAAAGUCUUCUUUUUUCCCUUAAAACAAGUCAUCGUGCUAAAAUAACAAUAGCAACAUGUAACACAUGUAAACUUCCAAAUUUCAACAAAACAAAUGCUUACAUAUUUGCAUUUACAACCAUAUACCCAUCAUCAACAUGCACACCAUCCCAUCAUCAUCAUCAUGCACACCAUCCCAUCAUCAUCAUCUCAUAUGCAACGGCUUAUACUAUUGUCACUAGGGAGUGGGAGAUCACGAAGCAUCCCCCCCCUUCGCUACGGUGGCAUAACAUGGUACCUAUCAGAGCACUCGGCAAGAGGUGCACUUCACUCCGAAUCACAAAGCAACGGAGCAGUCCCUUCCCUCCUCUUCCAAGCUCUUGGGACGUACCACUCAACCCCUUCGCUACGGAGGCGACAAACGGUACCUAUCAGAGCACUCGGCAAGAGGUGCACUUCACUCCGGAUCACGAAGCAACGGAGCAGUCCCUUCCCUCCUCUUCCAAGCUCUUGGGCGGAGAGUCAUACUUCGCCACAGAUCAUAUGCGAGAGUUCUCAGAAAUAGGGUUAUCUUUCUCUUUGCUCUGAUACCAAGUUUGUCACUAGGGGUGAGAGAUCACGGAGCAUCCCCCACUUCGCUACGGAGGCAACGACGGCUUAUGUGCAACACAUAGCCGGGUCAGCAACGGCUUAUGUGCACUCUUACUCGCACAUAGCCGGGUCAGCAACGGCUUAUGUGCACUCCUACUCGCACAUAGCCGGGUUCAAAUCAACAUGUAAAGAAGCAUCCAAUGCAUAUCAUGCAUCUUAUCAUAUUGUGAUAACACAUAAACCAUUGUAUAGCACAUUUUCACAAUAUAAAAUCAUUUUACUAAAAGCUUGUUCCCAAGGUACAUUUUCUAAGACAAGUUGGAUAGAAUCUUUCAUAUUCCCCAAAACAAGUUUGAAAUGCAAGUUCACUCACCAAUAUUAGGAGUAGAAAUACUCCUAUUUUUAGUCCGCGGUUACAGUCCUUUACCCAUAUCCAAUGGCUCACCACCUAGCCAUAAUCCAUGACACAUAUUCCAAUUAAAUUGUGUAGAACAAUCAUAAGCUAUUUCAGGCUCGAUAUAUAUAUGAUAUGAAAUGAAAAAUGCACGGGUAGCCAUCUAGACUCGGUAUUGGCCUAAGUCGAUUUUUCAUCCGAUAAAUUGGCCCAUGCGUCUAAUUUCACUCCAAAUUAAUCCAUUUCUCCUUUAAUACCUUAAUUUACCACAUACCAUUUAAAUAAAGUCAAAUUCAGCAUUAGAACCCUCACAGUUCCUAAUAGAAAAAUUCGAUCAUUUGGUGCACUAGCACCAAAAAUUUUUCUACAUAACCGUUUCACCUUAAUUCAUCAUUUUCCAAGCCAUUUUCCUUGAAACAAAAACAAGCCCCCAUUGAUAUUCAGCCCUCAUGGUUCGACCAACAAGGAACCCUAGAGAAAUUGAAUAUUUCUUUUGUGUUUUUGUUCAUAACCAUGCUUAACUAUCCCUAAACACUAACAUAGUCUAAAAUCAAAUUAUUCUAACAACAAUUCCUCUUCCAUACCCAUUUUUCAGAAUUGAAUUCAUCAUGAUAACUCAAUAUUCAACCAUGAAAAUCAAGAACAAAAGCAUGAGUAAGCUAGGUAUCAAGGAGAAUUGAAGAAAUUUUAACUUACCUAGCUUGUUUCCUUGAAUUCCAACACUUUCUCUUUGAUUUUUCCCACCUAGGGCUUGUUCUUCCUUGGUUUCUCUUCUCUUCUGGUUUGGC
This 1985-nucleotide long non-coding RNA is filed under the name Theobroma cacao (cacao). RNAcentral describes it as "long non-coding RNA (TCAC_LNC003541)". Lineage: Eukaryota; Viridiplantae; Streptophyta; Magnoliopsida; Malvales; Malvaceae. The record is from RNAcentral.